GAUGAACGCUGGCGGCGUGCCUAAUACAUGCAAGUCGAGCGAACAGACGAGGAGCUUGCUCCUAUGACGUUAGCGGCGGACGGGUGAGUAACACGUGGAUAACCUACCUAUAAGACUGGGAUAACUUCGGGAAACCGGAGCUAAUACCGGAUAAUAUAUUGAACCGCAUGGUUCAAUAGUUAAAGACGGUUUUGCGGUCACUUAUAGAUGACUCCGCGCCGCAUUAGCUAGUUGGUAAGGUAACGGCUUACCAAGGCAACGAUGCGUAGCCGACCCGAGAGGGUGAUCGGCCACACUGGAAAUGGGACACGGACCAGACUCCGACGGGAGGCAGCAGUAGGAAAUCUUCCGCAAUGGGCGAAAGCCUGACGGAGCAACGCCGCGAGAGUGAGGAAGGUCAUCGGAUCGUAAAACUCGGUUAUUAGAGAAGAAUAAAGGUGUAAGUAACGAUGCGCGUAUGGAAGGUACCUAAGCAGAAAGCCACGCUUAACCCCGU
Molecule: ribosomal RNA, 496 nt
Filed under: uncultured bacterium
Lineage: Bacteria
Description: partial 16S ribosomal RNA
Rfam family: Bacterial small subunit ribosomal RNA
Source: RNAcentral